Molecule: ribosomal RNA, 200 nt
Filed under: uncultured bacterium
Lineage: Bacteria
Description: partial 16S ribosomal RNA
Rfam family: Bacterial small subunit ribosomal RNA
Source: RNAcentral
GAUGAACGUUAGCGGCAGACUUAAUACAUGCAAGGCGAAGGGGCAGCAAUGUCACUGUCGUACGGGUGCGUAACGCGUAUGCAACCCUACCUAUCACUGGGGGGAUAGCCCGGGGAAACCCGGAUUAAUACCGCAUAACACGGGGGCUCCUCAUGGAGAUUAUUUGUUAAAGAUUUAUCGGUGGUAGAUGGGCAUGCGUU